UACGGAGGAUCCGAGCGUUAUCCGGAUUUAUUGGGUUUAAAGGGUGCGUAGGCGGCCUAUUAAGUCAGGGGUGAAAGACGGUAGCUUAACCAUCGCAGUGCCUUUGAUACUGAUGGGCUUGAAUGUACUUGAGGUAGGCGGAAUGUGACAAGUAGCGGUGAAAUGCAUAGAUAUGUCACAGAACACCAAUUGCGAAGGCAGCUUACUAAAGUAUGAUUGACGCUGAGGCACGAAAGCGUGGGGAUCAAACAGG
This 253-nucleotide ribosomal RNA is filed under the name uncultured bacterium. Its description in RNAcentral is "partial 16S ribosomal RNA". It matches the Rfam family "Bacterial small subunit ribosomal RNA", at positions 524 to 776 of the family's 1533-position model. The record is from RNAcentral.